CCUACGGGGGGCAGCAGUGAGGAAUAUUGGUCAAUGGACGAGAGUCUGAACCAGCCAAGUAGCGUGAAGGAUGACUGCCCUAUGGGUUGUAAACUUCUUUUAUAUGGGAAUAAAACGUUCCACGUGUGGGAUUUUGUAUGUACCAUAUGAAUAAGGAUCGGCUAACUCCGUGCCAGCAGCCGCGGUAAUACGGAGGAUCCGAGCGUUAUCCGGAUUUAUUGGGUUUAAAGGGAGCGUAGGUGGAUUGUUAAGUCAGUUGUGAAAGUUUGCGGCUCAACCGUAAAAUUGCAGUUGAAACUGGCAGUCGUGAGUACAGUAGAGGUGGGCGGAAUGCGUGGUGUAGCGGUGAAAUGCUUAGAUAUCACGAAGAACUCCGAUUGCGAAGGCAGCUCACUGGACUGCAACUGACACUGAGGCUCGAAAGUGUGGGUAUCAAACAGGAUUAGAUACCCUUGUAGUC
Molecule: ribosomal RNA, 460 nt
Filed under: uncultured bacterium
Lineage: Bacteria
Description: partial 16S ribosomal RNA
Rfam family: Bacterial small subunit ribosomal RNA
Source: RNAcentral